GGACAGAUUAGACACACGUGUGUUUAUCUGCUGCAGAGAGACUGAUGGAGCAAUGCUGCCAUCAAAGACUCUCAGUGCGUACACUACAGAAAUGAAUAAAACAUAUUUUAUAUCUUAAGUUGUAGGUUAUUUUAAUUAUUGUAAUGUGAAACAGAGCUGUUGCACGUGUCUAAUUCUUGAUUGCUGUAUAUUUGCUGCAGAUCUUUUGUGGUGGAGCAGGACCUGCAAGGAAAGGUGACAGCGGCAUUUGUGGAAAAAAAAAAAAAGGAAAAACUGAAACAAAAAUAUAAAGUAAGAAAUCAUUUUGUUGUUUCUAAUACAGAAAUCAAAUGACAUUGUGCUGUUAAAAUGACUGCUUGUGUAUUAUGUUGUGCAUCUUUGCAGGAUCUGAAAUGUCUGCAGACUAGAAGUCCACAGCAUCAUCCUGGAAAUGGUCCAGUGUCAUGGAUGAGAGGCUCCAUCACUCCACCUGCUUUUACUGUCUCAUCAGGACCAGAUGCUGCUGUGGUCUCUUCAUCCUCAGUUACCCCAAAGACGACGCUUUUAUCUGAAGUGACUUGCAGUGCGCUUAUUACAGAGACCCCAAUCCCCCUGCAGCUAUUUGGAGUAAAGACAGCGCUGGUGACGACUGUGGAGAUCGAACCAGCAACCUUCUGCUCACCAGUUCACUACACCACAAAAGUAAUGAAGCUAUGACAAAAAUUAGCAUGUAACUGUAAACAUAUGAAAUGAAAUUUAGCAAGAAAUGGAAUGCUGACAACAUGAGAUAUAAAGCGUUUACUCUGUGUUUUAUAGGUAGUGGUGCUCAUAGAGAGCAGCACACAGAUGUUUGGAGCAGACAGCAGCAGUCAGAUUGUCCCACAUGUGUUCUUCUGAUCUUGUUCAGGGUUGUGUGGUUCAGCUGCAUCAUCAUGGUCUUCCUCAUCCUCUCUGUGCACUCAGACUAUGACAGUGUUGAUGUCCCUUUCCCAUCCAUGAUCAGAUUCAGUCUGACUGCAGCAGUGAGGGACGUGAUGGACAGCAGAGACAGGUCUCAGCUGUGUUGAGAUGACAACAGGAUGUGGUUUCACUGCCUGUAAAUACAUGAUUGUCAGAACAAUGUUUGAAUAAAGCCUUUUCAUGUGUUGUUGACUACUUGUAU
Molecule: long non-coding RNA, 1141 nt
Organism: Cyprinus carpio (common carp)
Lineage: Eukaryota; Metazoa; Chordata; Actinopteri; Cypriniformes; Cyprinidae
Source: Ensembl